This is a small nucleolar RNA of Suncus etruscus (white-toothed pygmy shrew), 136 nucleotides long. RefSeq annotates it as small nucleolar RNA SNORA51. The record is from RefSeq and is a predicted model, not a curated record. NCBI's taxonomy places the organism in Eukaryota, Metazoa, Chordata, Mammalia, Eulipotyphla, Soricidae. The transcript has a single exon.
GGCCUCCCAAUUCUUACCACAGGCUAUGUUCUUCUUUACACUGACUGUAUAGAAAGAGGAGGUACAGUAAAUGCACCCAGUAAACACCUCAAUUCAGGCCCUUUGCCUGGUCUGUAUUGUGAAUUGGGGUAGAAAA